RNAcentral lists this microRNA (21 nucleotides) under Picea abies (Norway spruce). RNAcentral's name for it is "pab-miR166a". Its record names the gene pab-miR166a. Lineage: Eukaryota; Viridiplantae; Streptophyta; Pinopsida; Pinales; Pinaceae. RNAcentral also lists the same sequence under 16 other names. The record is from miRBase by way of RNAcentral.
UCGGACCAGGCUUCAUUCCUC